Molecule: ribosomal RNA, 116 nt
Filed under: Jaculus jaculus (lesser Egyptian jerboa)
Lineage: Eukaryota; Metazoa; Chordata; Mammalia; Rodentia; Dipodidae
Source: RNAcentral
GACGGCCAUACCACCCUGAACGUGCCCAAUCUCGUCUGAUCUCAGAAGCUAAGCAGGGUCAGGCCUGGUUAGUAUUUGGAUGGGAGACCACCUGGGAAUACUGGCUGCUGUAGGCU